Molecule: transfer RNA, 88 nt
Filed under: Methylacidiphilum fumariolicum SolV
Lineage: Bacteria; Pseudomonadati; Verrucomicrobiota; Methylacidiphilae; Methylacidiphilales; Methylacidiphilaceae
Also listed under: 1 other name
Rfam family: tRNA
About the family: Transfer RNA (tRNA) molecules are approximately 80 nucleotides in length.
Source: Rfam by way of RNAcentral
GGACAGGUGCCAGAGCGGUUGAUUGGGACGGUCUUGAAAACCGUUAGGGAGUUUCCCUCCCUCGUGGGUUCGAAUCCCACCCUGUCCG